CCAAGGAGACAAUGCAAGAUGUUGGUCAGAAUGUGCAGGCGAAGGCUCAAGGAGCUGCUGAUGCAGUCAAGAAUGCCACUGGCAUGAACAAAUGAAGCUGCUCAUGAUGAUCAUUUUCAUGACUUUUAAUGACUUUAUAGAGUUAAGAUGAUGGCAAACUUUCAUUGAGUUUUAUAGACUUUUAUGUAAUUUUUUCUUUCUUUCUUACCCUUCUUUUGAAAGAAUGAAUUGAAAAUUUCAUAGAAUUCUAAAAUGAUGGAAUUUAGAUCUCCAUCAUUUUAAGUUACGACAAUUAAUAUAAUUUCAGUGUUCGGAUUUAUGUAUAUCGAAUUUUACAAUUGAAAUUUCAGGGAAAAACGAAUUCCUUCACUCAAUAGAAAUUAUGAAAUGACUUCUCUUUUGAUUGAAAUUAAACUCAGAAAUCUUGAGUGCUUAACGUUCGUGCCAAAGUAGCCAAACAAUGGAAAUAUUAAAUUCUACUCUUCAAUUCUUAACUUUUAGCUAAAUAAUUAACGUAGGGGAAUAGCAGUAUGUAGUAUGACCACAAGAAAACAGAUUCUAAUAUUAUCUUUUGAUCAUGUUGAAUUAACUCAUGAGAUCUAUAUAACCAAACUAAUUAUUCAUGUAGAGAUUGAAGAAUAUCAAUUAUGAAUUCGUUGGGUUUGAGACUUUUUCAUCUCUGAUUUCUAAAGGUCUCAUUCUGAGCAUGGGUGCCUUAGAGCUUUUUGAAAUAUCCACCAGUUGACCAAAGACAUUAAAAUGCACUCAAGUCAAGAAACAAGACUCCAGAAAUCAGAAAUACAAGAGAACCAAACACACACGAAAAUACAGAAUGUGAAUAACUAAGCACGUGAAAGAAUGUAGCGUGCAUGAAAGAGCUGGUGUAUGCAUUAUUUUUUCCGUAAUAAGUGGUCAUAGAACUAAGCACGUGACAGAAUAUAGCGUGCAUGAUGAUGUAUAAAACUCGUUACACGUAAGAUUUUUUAUGAUUAAAGAUAAAAUGGACACUUGCCCAGAAACUGAAGGAUAAUAUCGUUUUUAACUCAUGUGAGGGAUAACCCAACAAGUUUAUUAGCAUUUACUCAUAAGAUGUUCUGGCCUUUCAAUCAAAUAACAAUAUCUCGUGGAUUGUGGAACAGUCUUCUGAAUUGUAAUUAAUAGAUAAUAUAAUCCAAUAUAAGAAUUCCAUAAUGCUGAAAAAAGUCAUUUUCAUUCACAAAACUGUCUAAGAAACCCUCAGAAUAGCAACUUUUAAGACUCAACAGCCUUCCUGGUCAAAAGGCUCACCCUAAGUAAUUGGGCGACACGUGUUAUGGUCCAAAACCAUGACCAGGAUGAAAUGUGUGCAUGACAUCACACAUGUCGAGCAUUCAGCUGGUCUAAAAUCGUAUAUAAACCAUACCCAAUUGUGAUCAGCAAAUCAAAUUUGAGUUAUAACAACUUCAUCUGAAUUUCAAGUGUUUUCAAGAAAACAAAGUAAGAAGAAAAUGGCUGACAACUCUCAAAAGAUGAGCUACCACGCUGGAGAGGCCAAGGGCCAAGCUCAGGUAAUUAGCUCACCUGUAAAUUGUAAUUUUCCAUUUGUUUUUGCUUCUUUCUUCUGUUUUUUUAUAGAUUAAUGUGGGAUGUUUUGUAUUGGAUAAUUUUGGAUUUAACAGGAGAAGGCCGGUGGGAUGAUGGAUAAGGCUAACAAUGCAGCCCAAUCUACCAAGGAGACAAUGCAAGAUGUUGGUCAAAAUGUGCAGGCGAAGGCUCAAGGGGCUGCUGAUGCAGUCAAGAAUGCCACUGGCAUGAACAAAUGAAGCUGCUCAUGAUGAUCAUUUUCAUGACUUUUAAUGACUUUGUAGAGUUAAGAUGAUGGCAAAAUUUCAUUGAGUUUUAUAGACUUUUAUGUAAUUUUUUUUUUCUUUCUUACCCUUCUUUAGAAAGAAAGAAUUUAAAAUUACAUAGAAUUCCAAAAUGAUGGAAUUUAGAUCUCCAUCAUUUUAAGUUACGGCAAUUAAUAAUUUCAGUAUUUGGAUUUAUGUAUAUCGAAUUUUACAAAUAAAAUUUCACGGAAAAACGAAUUCCUUCACUCAAUAGAAAUUGCGAAAUGACGUCUCUUUUUAUUGAAAUUAAACCCAGAAAUCUUGAGUGCUUGACUUUUGUGCUAAAAUAGCCAAACAGUGAAAGUAUUAAAUUCUACUCUUCAAUUCUUUACUUUUAGCUAAAUAAUUAACGUAGGGUAAUAGCAGUAUGUAGUAUGACCAAAAGAAAACGAAUUCUAAUAUUAUCUUUUGAUCAUGAUGAAUUAACUCUUGAGAUCUAUAUAACCAAAAUAAUUAUUCAUGUAGAGAUUGAUGAAUAUCAAUUAUGAAUUCGUUGGGUUUGAGACAAUUUCAUCUCUUAUUUCUAAAGGUCUCAUUCUCGGCCUGGGUGCCUUAGAGCUUUUUGAAAUAUCCACCAGUUGACCAAACACAUUAAAAUGCACUCAAGUCAAGAAACAAGACUCGUAAAUCAGAAAUACAAGAGAACCAAACACGCACAAAAAUACAUAAUGUGAAUGAACUUGGGGUAAUUAUCAAGUAGAAAAUUUUAUAUAAAGCCGGUGUAUGCCUUAUUUUCCUCGUAAUAAGUGUUCACAUAACUAAGCACGUGAAAGAAUGUAGCGUGCAUGAAAGAGUUGGUAUAUGCAUUAUUUUUCUCGUAAUAAGUGGUCACAUAACUAAGCACGUAAAAGAACAUAGCGUGCAUGAUAAUGUAUAAAACUCAUUACACGUAAGAUUUUUUGUGGUUAAAGAUAAAACACUUGUCCAGAAACUUUGGGACAAUAUCGCUUUUAACUCAUGUGGAGGUUAACCCAACAAGUUUAUUAGCAUUUACUCAUUAAUUAGAUGUUCUGGCCUUUCAAUCAAAUAAUAAUAUCUUGUGGCUUAUGGAACAAUCUUGUGAAUUGUAAUUAAUUGAUAAUAUAAUCCAAUAUUACAAUAAUUCCAUAAUGCUGAAAAAAGUAAUUUCCAUUCAAAAAACUGUCUAAGAAACCCUCAGAAUAGCAACUUGGAAGACUCAACAGCCUUCCUGGUCAGAAGGCUCACCCUAAGUUAUAGGGCGACACGUUUUAUGGUCCAAAACCAUGACCUGGAUGAAAUGUGUGCCUGGCAUCACACAUGUCGAGCAUUCAGCUGGUCUAAAAUCGUAUAUAAACCAUACCCAAUUGUGAGAUAUUCAUCAUUAGCAAACCAAAUUUGAGGUAUAAAAACAUCAUCUGAAUUUCAAGUGUUUUCAAGAAAACAAAGCAAGAAGAAAAUGGCUGACAACUCUCAGAAGAUGAGCUACCACGCUGGUGAGGCCAAGGGCCAAGCUCAGGUAAUUAGCUCAUGUGUAAUUCUCCAUUUGUUUUUACUUAUUUCUUCUACUUUCUUUUAAAUAUUACAUUAUUAUAUGUGAAUGUGCAUUGAGAUUGAUGUGGGGUGUUUUGUAUUGGAUACUUUUGGAUUUAACAGGAGAAGGCUAGUGGGAUGAUGGAUAAAGCUAACAAUGCAGCCCAAUCUACCAAGGAGACAAUGCAAGAUGUUGGUCAGAAUGUGCAUGCGAAGGCUCAAGGAGCUGCUGAUGCAGUCAAGAAUGCAACUGGCAUGAACAAAUGAAGCUGCUCAUGAUGAUCAUUUUCAUGACUUUUAAUGACUUUAUAGAGUUAAGAUGAUGACAAACUUUGUUUGAGUUUUAUAGACUUUUAUGUAAUUUUUUUUUCUUUCUUACUCUUCUUUUGAACGAAGGAACUGAAAAUUGCAUAGAAUUCUAAAAUGAUUGAAUUUAGAUCCCCAUCGUUUUCAUUUAUGGUAAUUAAUAAUUUUAGUAUUCGGAUUUAUGUAUGUUAAAUUUUGUAAAUGACAUAAAUUUUAGGGGAAAACGAAUUCUAAUAUCUUUUGAUCACGAUGAAUUAACUCAUGAGAUCUAUAUAACCAAAAUAAUUAUUCAUGUAGAGAUUGAUGAAUAAUAUCAAUUACGACUCUUGAGAUUGGGGCCCAAUUCGUUGGGUUUGAGACUUUUUCAUCUUUUAUUUCUAAAGACAUCGUUUUGGGCUUGGGUGCCUUAGUGCUUUUUGAAAUAUCCACAAGUUUACUAAACACAUUAAUGACAUGUUUAUUAAUCCGUAAUUAGAUUAGGAGCAAUUGAAUUGAUGAUGAAUUGAAUUGGGAAGGAGUUAGAUUGAGGAGAAUUAGAUUUCGGAUUCCUAUUGAAGUUCUUUACUAAACCGUAUGGAUUGAGGAGAAUUAAAUUCCGGAUUUCUAUUGAAGUUGUUUACUAAAUCAUAUGGAAUUGAGGUAAUAGUGGUACUAAUUACUAAAAUGACCUCGUUGUUUGGUUAAAGUAGAUGGCAAAUUUGAAAUUUUGAAAAUUGAGGAUAUAAUGGGUAACAAAGAUGAAUUCCUAAUAGAUUAGUUCUCCAGGAAUUAGAAUACCACUUCCCACCGAAGAAUUGAGUUUCUCCAAAAUUAGGAAUUCAAUUCCUAAUUUUAUAUGGCCCCACUUACUUUUUAAUUCUUUGAUGUGAAAUAAACACAGGAAUUCUCCAUAGGUGGAAUUCAAUUCUUGAUUAGUAAAAACACAAUAAAAUGCACUCAGGUCAAGAAACAGAACUCCGAAAAUCAGAGAUACAAGAGAACCAAACCAACACAAAAAUACAAAAUGUGAAUGAACUUGGGGAAACUAUCAAAUAGAAAAUUUUAUAUAGAGCUGGUGUAUGCAUUAUUUUUCUCGUAAUAAGUAUUCACAUAACCAAGCACGUGAAAGAAUGUAACGUGCAUGAAAGAGUUGGUGUAUGCAUUAUUUUUCUCGUAGUAAGUGGUCAAAUAACUAAGCACUUAAAAGAAUAUAGCGUGCAUGAUAAUGUAUAAAACUCAUUACAAGUAAGAUUUUUUGCGGUUAAAAGUAAAAUGCAUACUUGUCCAUAAACUUAGGGACAAUAUCGCUUUUAACUCAUGUGGAGGAUAACCCAACAAGUUUAUUAGCAUUUACUCAUAAGAUGUUUUGGUCUUUCUAUCAAAUAACAAUAUCUUGUGAGUCUUGCGAAUUAUAAUUAAUUGAUAAUGUAUUUUUAGGCGUAGUAAUUAAGGAAAUAUAAUCCAAUAUUAUAAGAAUUCCAUAAUACUGAAAAAAGUAAUUUCCAUAUUCAAAACUGUCUGAACCCUAAGAAUAGCAACUGUAGAUGAAGAUAAGACUCAACAGCCUUGUCCUGGUCCGAAAGGCUCAUCCCAAGUUAUAAGGCGACACGUGUUAUGGUCCAAAGCCAUGAAAUGUGUGAAUAGCUUCCGCAUGGCAUCACACGUGUCGAGCAUUCAGCUGGUUGAAAAUUCUAUAUAAACCCUACCCAAAUGUGAAAUAUUCAUCAUCAGCAAAUCAAAUUCGUGUUAUAAAAACUACAUCUGAAUUUCAAGUGCUUUCCUCCAGUUUCCAAGAAAACAAAGCAAGAAAAAAAUGGCUUCCAACUCUGAGAAGGUGAGCUACCACGCUGGUGAGGCCAAGGGCCAAGCUCAGGUAAUUUUCUUCACCUAUUAUUCUCCAUUUGUUCCUGCAUUUUUUGUUGUUGAAUAUUACAUAAUUUAUGCUGAAUGUGCAUUGAGAUUGAUGUAAUUUUUCAUUUAACAGGAGAAGGCGAGUGGGGUGAUGGAUAUGGCAAACAAUGCAGCCCAAUCUGCCAAGGAAACAAUGCAAGCGGCAGGCCAGAAUGUGCAGGCCACGGCUAUAGGAGCUGCUGAUGCAGUCAAGAAUGCCACUGGCAUGAACAAAAAAUGAAGCUAGCUGCUCAUCAUGAUCUCAAUAUGAGCAUUUGCAGUUUUUUUUUCUUUUUUUUGGGAGCUUUCUAGUAGUUGCUUUUGAUUUCUGUCUUCUAAACAAGGGAGCUCUAAGUCCUCUGGAGUUCUCAUCAUCUGGGUGUGUACUUUCGUUCACACUUGGUUUUAGUUUUUGUUUUCUUUUUCUUUUUGUUCAUGUUUAUCUCCUUUGAACAAGGAAAGUGGGCUCUGCCUAUUGUAGUUCUCACCUAAUUGAAUCAUAUGCUGUUUUUAAUCCCAUCUAUAUGUUCAAGAUUGGUCCUUUGUUUAUGCAGAUGAGCAAAAUCCGACCUAAGAGUUUCUGAAAAUAAAAAACAUAAAAAAAAGAAGAUAUAAAUUAAUUAAGCAAGUGCGACAACUCAUAAUUAAGAGAAGCUACUUUUGCAUCUGAUAGAAUUUUAUUGAUAAUGCGGGAUGAAAAUAAGUAAAAAAAUUAAGCUAUGUCUAAAUAAUUAGGUGAGCAUCUCUACACAUAAUGACGUAGUGGUCGUCGAACUAUCUAGAUAGUCUAUCUUCUCAACCUUCUCUCGUCGGACUACCUAUAGAUAGCCUCUCGUCGGACUACCUAGGUAGCCUACCUUCUCAACCUUCUCAACUACAAACGAAAAAAAUAAAAACCUUGCCACCGUUAGAGCGGCCCCAUCUCUCUAAGAUUAGCUACUUAACUAUAGAACAAUAUCGUGACUAUGUAGCUAAGUAGCUUUCCCACAUCAAAGAAAUUUCUGUGACCUUCUUCCGUGAAAUUAAAGUACCAUAAUUUGUUGAAAAUUAAAGCACUUUUGUCGAGAAAUAUCUAGAAAAAUCUAGAUAAGAUCACCGACCAAGCUAAAGUCUACAUAUGCCAGAACUGUCAUAUGAAAUAUCCAAUAUGGUACUAUUAGAUUGAUAAUACGAUAAAAACUAGUGGAGACCACAAAGUUGUGGUUAGGAAUGUAGCAGCAGCUCGGCUGAAAAUGUGUGGUUAGGAACAAAACAAGCCCAAGUGGGUGGAGCUUCAGCAUGUCGGCUGCUGUCAUCUGUAAAUGAAUUUGGUAUGUUUAUUUUAAAAUAAAUUAAUCCAUAAUUACAUUAAAUUACCUUUAUUAGUGGGAGUUAAAUUUCCAUUAAUAUGACUCAACUGCUUUAUGCUUGUGUCCAUUAACGUCUUUCUUGGUGGUAUACUAUGUGUAUAUGUUAGUUAUAGCUUGAAAAAGAAAAAGAGAGAAGCCACAGCCUUCUUCCUCUUAUGAUAAAAUUUGGGUUACUAACAAUACAUUUACAUUAAUUACUCUCUCUUGUAGAAAUGUGAUAUUAAUUUAUUGAUUGCAAUCAUUAAUAAAAUUUAGAGGAUUGACGGUAAUGACAAUAUGUAUAAAUGUUUUAAAAACAGUGGCCAAGGUUUUGUGUACUUGGUAGGCUUGUUAAGUUGCUGGACCCAAUUCUACAUCAAAAGAGAGGUGGAGUGCAUUUAUAGUGCAAACUCAAAAUUGGACCUAUAUCAAAAGACUCAUUCUUUUAAUUUAUGUAUUGAGAUUUCUAAGCAACAUAGUUAGAAAGGUGUUUGUUACCUUUUCUAAACUGCUUGCAUAAAUUGGGCGUAGAGCCGCGAAACGUCUGAAAGAGAACGACUUCGUACGUGACUCAUCCCAAGAAUCGUUCCAAACUACAUACUAAAUUUUUCGUGUAAUAUUGUUCUCUUAUUUUAAUUUGUUCAUCAACAAUUUAAAGACCUUUUCAUCUGCCAUUGAUGUGAAUAAUAAGGCUUAUAGAUUCUAUGACCAAAAGAACCAUGUUGUACUUGAAUCUAAAUGAUGUUUAAAAAAAAAGAAGAUAAAUUCUCAUAUAAAUUGAGAAAUUGUGGGGACUCAAGUUCUAGUAAUACAUCUUUCCCAUAAAUCAUGAACCUAGAUGUAUAGAACAUUUUUAACCAACUUAGAACCAAGGAAGAGUAAGAAAACGAAUUGCCAAGGAUUUUGGACCUAAUUUUCAUGUUCAUACCUUAGAGCAAGGAUUUUGGACCUAACUUUCACACUUGGUUUUUGUUUUUGUUCAUGUUAUCUCCUUUGAACAAGGAAAGUGGGCUCUGCCUAUUGUAGUUCUCACCUAAUUGAAGCAUAAUCUUUUUUCAUGUGCUGGUGUUAGAAUUAUCUUCAUCCUUUACUUCGAUUUAAUCCCAUCUAUAUAUUCAACUAGACAACGAUAGAAUCGUGACUGAAAAACUGCCGCUGAUGCCUUGCAAGAGACGAUGGUCACGUAUACGACGAUUAUGUGUCACAUAAGAGGACUGCACUGUGUCUAGAAAAAUCUAGAUAAGAUACCGACCAAGCUAAAGUCUACAUAUGCCAGAACAGUCAUAUAAAGUAUCUCGGCUGAAAAUAUGUGGUUAGGAACAAACAAGCCCAAGUGGGUGGAGCUUGGGCAUGUCGGCUGCUGUCAUUUGUAAAUGAAUUU
RNAcentral lists this long non-coding RNA (8243 nucleotides) under Prunus persica (peach). RNAcentral's name for it is "long non-coding RNA (PPER_LNC003858)". Lineage: Eukaryota; Viridiplantae; Streptophyta; Magnoliopsida; Rosales; Rosaceae. The record is from RNAcentral.